RNAcentral lists this transfer RNA (76 nucleotides) under Luteibacter rhizovicinus. It matches the Rfam family "tRNA". Rfam says of the family: Transfer RNA (tRNA) molecules are approximately 80 nucleotides in length. Their secondary structure includes four short double-helical elements and three loops (D, anti-codon, and T loops). The record is from RNAcentral. Lineage: Bacteria; Pseudomonadati; Pseudomonadota; Gammaproteobacteria; Lysobacterales; Rhodanobacteraceae. RNAcentral also lists the same sequence under 29 other names.
GGGUCGUUAGCUCAGUUGGUAGAGCAGCGGACUUUUAAUCCGUAGGUCGCCGGUUCGAAUCCGGCACGACCCACCA